GUAGUUUGACUCCGUCGGCUACGAGACGACGCUGGCGGCGCGCCUAACACAUGCAAGUCGAACGGACGAGGAAGUGCUUGCACUUCCGAGUUAGUGGCGGACGGGUGAGUAACACGUGAGCAACCUGCCGUUUUAGACGGGGGAUAACGUCCUGAAAAGGACGCUAAUACCGCAUAAAGUCGAGAUGUGGCAUCGCAUCAUGACCAAAGGAGUAAUCCGCUGAAAGAUGGGCUCGCGCCUGAUUAGCUAGUUGGAGUGGUAACGGCACACCAAGGCGACGAUCAGUAGCCGGACUGAGAGGUUGAACGGCCACAUUGGGACUGAGACACGGCCCAGGCUCCUACGGGAGGCAGCAGUGGGGAAUAUUGGGCAAUGGGGGAAACCCUGACCCAGCGACGCCGCGUGAGGGAUGAAGGUUUUCGGAUUGUAAACCUCUGUCUUCGGGGACGAAAAAAUGACGGUACCCGAGGAGGAAGCCACGGCUAACUACGUG
RNAcentral lists this ribosomal RNA (493 nucleotides) under uncultured Oscillospiraceae bacterium. Its description in RNAcentral is "bacterial SSU rRNA". It matches the Rfam family "Bacterial small subunit ribosomal RNA", at positions 9 to 507 of the family's 1533-position model. The record is from RNAcentral. Lineage: Bacteria; Bacillati; Bacillota; Clostridia; Eubacteriales; Oscillospiraceae.